RNAcentral lists this small nuclear RNA (22 nucleotides) under Arabidopsis thaliana (thale cress). RNAcentral's name for it is "snRNA_04469". Lineage: Eukaryota; Viridiplantae; Streptophyta; Magnoliopsida; Brassicales; Brassicaceae. The record is from RNAcentral.
AUCCAUCAGCUCACUAUUGUCA